Molecule: ribosomal RNA, 508 nt
Filed under: uncultured bacterium
Lineage: Bacteria
Description: partial 16S ribosomal RNA
Rfam family: Bacterial small subunit ribosomal RNA
Source: RNAcentral
GAUGAACGCUAGCUACAGGCUUAACACAUGCAAGUCGAGGGGAAACGAUAGAGAAAGCUUGCUUUUUCUAGGCGUCGACCGGCGCACGGGUGAGUAACGCGUAUCCAACCUGCACAUCACUUGGGGAUAACCUUGCGAAAGUAAGGCUAAUACUCAAUGACGUCUCUAGAAGACAUCUGAAAGAGAUUAAAGAUUUAUCGGUGAUGGAUGGGGAUGCGUCUGAUUAGCUUGUUGGCGGGGUAACGGCCCACCAAGGCGACGAUCAGUAGGGGUUCUGAGAGGAAGGUCCCCCACAUUGGAACUUAGACACGGUCCAAACUCCUACGGGAGGCAGCAGUGAGGAAUAUUGGUCAAUGGGCGAGAGCCUGAACCAGCCAAGUAGCGUGCAGGAUGACGGCCCUAUGGGUUGUAAACUGCUUUUAUAAGGGAAUAAAGUGAGUCUCGUGAGACUUUUUGCAUGUACCUUAUGAAUAAGGACCGGCUAAUUCCGUGCCAGCCGCCGCGGUAA